Mustela erminea (ermine) is the source of this 1255-nucleotide long non-coding RNA. RefSeq lists it as uncharacterized. Lineage: Eukaryota; Metazoa; Chordata; Mammalia; Carnivora; Mustelidae. The transcript is spliced from 3 exons. The record is from RefSeq and is a predicted model, not a curated record.
CCCAAGAUGGGUGAGAGGUGCGCCUGUCCUUUUCAGAAGAGCAGGGCUGAUGAGAAGACAGGAGUGGCCUGGCCCCCUGAGCAGCUCAUUUCCAGGCUGAUCCGUUUCAGGAAGAGCUACAUGAGGAAAUUAAGGGUCGGGCUGUCAGUUCCCUUUGAAUGGUUUGAGUUCCCUUUUGCCCAUGACUAAGUCUUUGCAAGGACCCAGUGACCCUGCACAAGGGAGCACCUACCCCAAUUUAAACACGGGGUCUGGGACAGCUGGGUGGCUCUGUGAGGUAGUCAGGAUGAGCACACGCUCUUUCUCCGGAAGGAGUUUCCCAGGGUAGAAAGGCUCUGACAACGUCAGCCCCAGCUAUUUCACUCUAAGUUCUUCCAUUUUUAGCUGAAGAGAUCCGUUCUGCCCAGGACUCUAGAAAGGAAAGCAAAAGUGAAACUGAACAAAGGGGACAUGCUGUUCUGACUCCAAAGUAAAUAUGAAAGUCCUCACGAGUGCGGGGAUUUCCUGGUCCGCUGGCAACUUGAUGACUUGCAGAUGAAACAAUGGGUUCAGCCUGGAACAAGUGCGAAUAAGAAAUCCCAAGGAAGUCCUGUCACAGGGACAGAGUGGUCCUCCAGGUAGCGUCUGCCCUUCCGAGGGGCGGCUUACUGGGGAUCUCUUUGUCCUGAGAGUGCUUCAUGGACACCGCUGACACAUUCUGAAGUCACCCAGAUGGAGAUCAAGAAUGCCUUCCAUCAGCCCAGAAAAUUCCUUCAUGCCUCUUUCCAGGGGACACUUACACAGACACGCCACCCUGGCCCAAACACUCUUGGGAUGGGUCUCAUGGCGGCUUCGGCCUGUCUGCUCCGACGUCCCAUACGUGGACUUGUACGGCUUCUCUCCCUCACCUCCCUCCUUGCCUCCACAUGAGAGCGCGUGUCUGCGGCUUGUUGUCUUUGCCAACAAACAGUAUCCCACCGGAUAAAUACAGCCCAGUGAUGUGGGGCUCCAUCCUGGGACCCCACAGUCUCCUGUUCUCCUGCUGAUGGACAUGGGGUUACUUCCUCUGUGGCCCCAUAAGCAGAGCGAAGCUAGGGGUGUUCUGGCUCAAGUGUUUUUGUCAGUCUCUGGAUUCAUGUCUGUUUUAUAAGUACCUGGUAGGUUCUCCUUGGAAUCGUCUACUGGAUCCUUGGCAUCAAGCAGGUCUUGAACCGGUCGAAGGCUGGGUGAGCUUGGAGCGCAGCUGGAGGCCACGGAGAUGGGAGUGAUUGAGUGC